CCUACGGGUGGCAGCAGUGGGGAAUAUUGCACAAUGGGGGAAACCCUGAUGCAGCGACGCCGCGUGAGUGAAGAAGUAUUUCGGUAUGUAAAGCUCCAUCAGCAGGGAAGAAGAAAGACGGUACCUGACUAAUAAGCCCCGGCUAACUACGUGCCAGCCGCCGCGGUAAUUCGGAGGGGGCAAGCGUUAUCCGGGUUUACUGGGUGUAAAGGGAGCGUAGGCGGGUGUGCAAGUCUGAAGUGAAAGCCCAGGGCUCAACCCCGGGACUGCUUGGGAAACUGGGGGGCUAGAGUGCUGGAGAGGUAGGCGGAAUUCGUGGUGGAGCGGUGAAAUGCGUAGAUAUUAGGAGGAACGCCGGUGGCGAAGGCGGCUUACUGGACAGUAACUGACGUUGAGGCUCGAAAGCGUGGGGAGCAAACAGGAUUAGAUACCCGGGUAGUC
This 441-nucleotide ribosomal RNA is filed under the name uncultured bacterium. Its description in RNAcentral is "partial 16S ribosomal RNA". It matches the Rfam family "Bacterial small subunit ribosomal RNA", at positions 338 to 795 of the family's 1533-position model. The record is from RNAcentral.